RNAcentral lists this long non-coding RNA (391 nucleotides) under Equus caballus (horse). Its description in RNAcentral is "lncRNA (ENSECAG00000045550.1)". The record is from RNAcentral. Lineage: Eukaryota; Metazoa; Chordata; Mammalia; Perissodactyla; Equidae.
UUUUAGAGGAGGGCUUCUUUCUUGAGACAGCAUUUUCCUGGCUGCCUGAGUGGCCUGGACACAUAGCUCUGGGUCCGAGGAGUCACACCAUUGAUUAUUUCAUGCAGGGGGAAGCUGACCAAUUUGGUGAGCUUUCCUGAAACUGAGUCAGUAAAAUGCAACAGAUAUAGACAUAGAGAAUAAUUGUAUUAAUUCAAGGAUGAUGCAUAUGGAUAUCAGGUCAUGAGAUUUGAAGUAUUUAACCUUGGGAAGAAAGGAUGUGAAGAUUAUGAGAGCUCCAAUUGGGAGAGUGUUCAAGCGCGAGGGGGAAGAUUUCCAGCAGGGCAGCCGCAUACGGAAGAUUGGGCAGAGUCCUCGCAGAUGGCGGUGUCAGAGCAGGGGAGCCUGAAGA